AUGUUCAGAACCACGGUCCCCCGGCACUUCCAAGCACCUGUGGGCUGCAGGUGGAGCCCCAGGAGCCAAAGGGCCGCUCAGCAAAGGGUGGAACUUGGCCUCGCAGUCAGCUGGCUUCUGCCUAUUAUGGUCAUCUUCUUUCCAGAGGUCUUGCUAUCUCAGUGGACGUGGAGGUCAUCCAGCUGUCCUGGGCUGUUUUCUCAUAGAAGAGGAGCUCCCUCUGAAAACUGUGUCAUUCUUAAUUCCUGGGCCAAGUCUUGGGACACAUCUUUUCUUAACGCUUGCGGGUAUGACAAGUGCAGUUCCCAUUUUCCUGCACUUUACGAAGUCUCUAAGGUGCAGGCAGUAGACAUCCUUCUCCAUGGACUCCCCCUGAGGCUCCUUCACAUGUUUUCAGGACAGUUCAGGCAGAGCGGAAAGCAUCGGCUGCAGCUUCCGGACGUCCCUUGCACCCUGCAGAGAGACCUGCUCACUGAGCAGACCUUGGACUUGUGCUAGGGACUUGCCGCCUCGAUGCUGGGGGACCACCCUGUUCUGCUUCCCUGUUGCCCUCCACUUCCAAGUCCUCAUUUUCCGUGUCGUCCGUCUUUCCUGGUGCAGAUGAAGGGUACUCAGCAGAGCAUGGGCCAGGGAAGUCACUCGCCUACUCCCGUUCGAAUAUUCGGGACUUGAGGCCUUCUUGUCUUUUUUUUUUUUUUUUUUUUUGUGGCGUCUGAUUCACAACUUCUUGGUCAGGCAGCUCUGCGGGUUGCUGAUGGUCCGUGCUGUCAUUCACAUCGUCCGUGGUGUGCACCGGAAGAUCUCCAUGCUGUGAAGCGUGCGGGAUGCGCUUCACAUCAGUCACUUGGGAAGUUCAGGAGACUGCUUUUUCAUGCUUUUUUCAGAAGCUCACCUUGGUUAAGUCGUGAUCGGAAGACCUGCUCAUUUCCAUUAGAACCUUCAAGCAGAGUGUUUGGAGCAAUCAAGGACUGGCCUGAGCAUGGAUAACAGGUAGCUACCACUGGUGUGGGCUGCUGGUUGCAUCUUGGCGCCGCCCUUUCUGUGGACCUCACCUUAGAGGGAAGCCCUUAGGGCCAGCCCUUCCCUCCUUCUCACUGCGUGUCGUCUCCUGACCAGAGAGGCCAUCAAAGCGGUGCACGCCCGGCUCACUCAGAGUAUCCCUAGGGUCGCUGGCACUGGUCCCAGGAUUCUGUACAUCACUAAUUACCGCUGCCCACAGGUGGACCAGCAGCAGUUGAGGAGGCAUUUCGCUGUGAGCAGCAGGCCCUCCGUGGCUCUCGAGGGCUCCACACCUCUGCCUCCAUUCUCCACUGGCAUGUGGGCCACAACUGACCACUCAGAGUCCUGCAGAGUGUUCCACCUCUAACACGAGGGCCCGCCAACCAGGAUAAACCAUCCAUUCUGCUGGGGGAGGAAAGGCACCGCAUGUUCUAGAAAACUGUGUCCCUGAUUUUGCUGUGCAAAUAGAAAGUGACAUUACUUAAUGCAGUGCCUUAGAAGAGUGGAAAGAGUUCACAGCAGCCCCCAGCUCAGGCCACUCCAGGUCCUACCUGGCCUUACAGCAUAGCUAGAGGGUCAAAGCCGGUCAUGCCACAGCCCCGUGUCCAGGCACGAUCCUCUCAGGGCAGUGUGAUGGCCUAUGCCUGGUGGGGCUCAUUACCCUGAUUUCAGGUUUCCUUCUGCUGCAGGGAAGCCUGGUCCCGCCUACAAAGAGGCUGUCUACCUUGCUAGAUUGAACUGUGGGACUAUGUUUUCUUCAUCUCUGUAACCCCAGUAGCUCGCCAGAGACCCUUAUACACUAGGGGCUCAGUCACUGCUUGUCUUGUUUUCUUGUUGACUCUACUCUGACUUAGGGCAUGUUGCUUUCCCCUCUUGAUCUCCAUGUUCAGAUUUGUGAAUAAGAGUUAAGUGGGUGAAGGCCCCUCUAGCUUUAAAGCCCCUCCACACAGAGAGAACACUGAAACCGGAAGCAGAAGCUGAGUGUGGUGAGUGGAGCAUUUUCCCCUGGAUGAUGGAGGGGACCUAUGGAUCUGGCUGUGAGGGUGGCAUCUGGCCACUUGAAUGACUCUGCAGAACUGGACCCUAGUUUUCAAAUCAGAUUCAAGAAUGAUCUUUAGUGUGGGUGGUUUUGUGGGGUAUGUAUUUUUUUAGACUUCGCUAUUGACACAACAGCUUCUGGAAGUCUUUUUGACAGAGUAUGCGCAGGUGCAGGCUCCAUCUGCUCCGCAGCCGCUGUCUGGUGACGGUGAGGGCUGAGAGCUGGACGGUCCUGUUAGAAAGGCAGAGUGCCAGCCUCUGGCAAUGAGCAGAGUGACCCAACCUCGUCUCUCCUUCCCCGUGGAGCACUGCGAGCUCUUCCCCAGACCGGCUUCUAGGCUUCCCUUCACCCUCUCCCACCAGGCGGCUGUGGCCACUCUAGGAUUCCAUUUUUAGUUGUACUUUUUUUUUUUAAUUGAUCAUUUUGUGAGCAUUUUUCUCUGUAAUGCAACAGAAAUAGCACAAGUCCUUAAAAAUGUGGGAUCUCUCAGCUCCCACAAAAACAAACAUGAUGGCCUAUGUAAUUCGCUACAUAUUUAAAUUGCUAGCUCUAAAAAUAGAUUCGGAGAAAGGGUGGACACAUGUUCCACUUUUCUCAUAACAGUCCUGGGUUAUGCCUGUUAUCCUGGCAUAGUUAUUAAUCCUGUCCCCUUUCACUCUUAGACGGUCCUGGUUUGGAGGAUAAAUUUGAUUUCAUUCUAUGCAAAGAGGAAAUCUACAAAGGUGACAUCAUCUAACCUGUAUUCAUAUAAACAGAUUUUCCAGUCUUAGGUUCUGCGUACCUCUCCAAACCCCACAAUUUUCUAAUCAUUUUAUGUAUUAUUUAUAGGAAAAGAGCACCAGCUAAAAUAUCUUGCCCCUUGGAUUUCUUCAGCCAGCUGCUGAAGGAAUUUAUCUUAGUCUUUACUGAAGACUGAAUUGUAUCAGUAAGACUUUCUUCUAAGUCCUGUUGUUUUGACUUUUUGACUUACUCUGUGCCCUCUGAUACACAAAGUAGCAAUAAUUUCUACAAUGAACCAUUGUAUUUGUUCAGGAGAAAUUCUUCCUUUUCCUCACAUUUCUAUUCAGUUUCCUCAAGGUAUGUAUUUGAAAACUUGAAAAAUUGCCUGGCACGGUUAUAGUUUAAUGGGAGCAUUUAAACAUACUUUUCCUACAAAGCUUAUCAGUUAGUUACUUAACCUUUAUGAAUAGGUUAAAUAUUUUCCACGGUAUUUAUAUAAAUAUGAUACUUGGUUUCAAGUUAAACCUAAUAAAAAGGAAGUUAUUCUUGACUUAAAUUACUCCCCUUUCUUUUCAUUUGUUUUUAUUUUCCUCUUUUUUAUGACCACUUGACUAAGAAAUUCACAAGGCAGAUGUGGAAACGUUGCUUUAUAAAUACAAGAUUCAGCCAGUCCCUGUUGUUGUCCCUGUUUUAAGAAAAGAAAAGGUAACUAUUCCUCCUGGAUGUAUGCUUUGGCCAUGAAAGUAAGGUUUAAAAUCAAGUCAAAGGGCUGUGUCGAGUUUAGAAAAAAAAAAAAAAAAAACCUCUAAAUGAAACGAUCUCCGUGCUGAAUUCAGAGUGAUGGUGCAGAGGCUUGUGUGAUGCACAGAAAGCAUCCCAGUGUUCUUGAAUCCCAACAAAACUUUCCUUGUUCUGGCAUCUCCCAAAGGCUCCAAGCACACAUAGGCUGCGCACUCUCUGCCAAUGGGGAAACACUCUGCUAAGUGCUUUAUUCAUUCCCAGAUGCUCUGUUUAUUCAUUUUUCAACAAAAAGUGGCACAUUGAAUAUGUAUUCCUGGAAAUCACCUGAAAUCUAUUCAUUAGGCUUUAGCGAGUCUCUCGUACACCUAACUCCACAUCCCAGGAGCCGACCCCAGUAAACCCAAGUCUCCCAUCAGCUCCACAAUCCAGUGCCUUAGGAUACAGCAGCCAGACCAGAAAAAUACCUUUAGGCCAAGUCUGCAUGGUUUUAAGAAAUUAGCUAGCCCUACACAUCACCUUUGACUCAGUAAAGCAGUCCCCUGUCUAUGACACCACCCAAAUUAUUGCCCUAGUCUAGAGCCUUACGCCUCUGCUUUCUAUUUUGGUGAAUUCAGAACAGAAGAUUUAACCAGCAUAAGACUGACAUAAUCUUGUGAUCUGGGACAGCCCCUGAUAGUAGGCAGGUGGUUGGGCAAAGCUUUAGUACCAAGGAGUUACUAGUUGGCAGCCUGAAGCUGAAUCAUCUCACGACACCCUUGAGACAGUGUGACAUUCAGAGUAAAGACCACAGUAAAGACCACAACAGCUCAAGUGCCACACUGCACCCAGCACAUUCUAUUUUUAAAAGAAAGAGUCAAAAUACCGUUCUAUCCAACAAUCCCAUUACUAGGUAUAUAGCCAAAAGAAAAUAAA
Molecule: long non-coding RNA, 4411 nt
Organism: Papio anubis (olive baboon)
Lineage: Eukaryota; Metazoa; Chordata; Mammalia; Primates; Cercopithecidae
Source: Ensembl